Molecule: long non-coding RNA, 151 nt
Organism: Hemiscyllium ocellatum (epaulette shark)
Lineage: Eukaryota; Metazoa; Chordata; Chondrichthyes; Orectolobiformes; Hemiscylliidae
Exons: 4
Source: RefSeq, a predicted model, not a curated record
AGUCAAGAUUGACAUUCCAGAACCUAAUGAAGAAAAGCUAGAAGUUGUAACGGAGGUAACUAAGUAUGAUACUGUCUUUAAUGGACAAGCUGUUGAUCCAGUUACAGGGAGGUGGUAUGAAUACAACAGUAAAACAGGAGCAAGGAAGUGG